UCUCUGCUAAUAUGGAAAUAGAGGUAUGGAGGGUGAGGCCUGCCCAAUGGUUGUAUCUAAAAGAGUCGGUAAAAGCCGACUUCAUAAAGACAAUUGAAUGGCCGCGGUAACACUGACUGUGAUAAUGUAGCGUAAUCAAUAGCCAAUUAAUUGUUGGCCGGUAUGAAUGGCGUCACGAAGGCCCCACUGUCUUAAAAAGAUUCCCAGUGAAAUUGAAUUCGUAGUGAAGAUGCUACGUCCAAAUUGUUAGACGAAGAGACCCCAUUGAGCUUUACUGGAAACUUAUGCGGCUAAAAUAUAUUCUUGCUUACAGAGAUCUAUUAAGAGCAAGGAGUUAAAACUUAAAUAAAUAGCUAAGAUUAUGUGGUGUGAGACAUCUUGUUCUUCGACUCCUCUCAUAGAGAGGGGCUCGAUCUUGAUCUAAGAUUUAACCGUUUAAAACCAUCGGCCAAAGCCGUUGGCGAAGGGGGCCCACUCUUUUAUUUUAAGAGAGCUAACUCUCCUUCAUGGUGAGAGAAACGACGUAAGUUGGACAGUUUGGUUGGGGCGACCGCCUUUUAAAAAGUAACGAAGGUGAGCUUAAGGUGCAUAAUUAAUAGCAGACGCCUGACUGCAAGGGGUACGUCCCGAGCAGACACCGGAAGACCUAGACACAAGCUUUUAGGGUUGAAAAGGUGGGCUAUAAUGACCCGUUAGUUUAGAGUGGAAUAGUUAACGAUCAACGGAUAAAAGCUACCAUGGGGAUAACAGCGUAAUAUCGUUAGAGAGCUUUCAUCGACGACGAUGUUUGCGACCUCGAUGUUGAAUUGCAGCACCCUGGGGUGCAGUCGCUCCCAAGGGUUGGUCUGUUCGUCCAUAAG
Molecule: ribosomal RNA, 860 nt
Filed under: Stauropathes cf. punctata KEL110-1
Lineage: Eukaryota; Metazoa; Cnidaria; Anthozoa; Antipatharia; Schizopathidae
Description: partial 16S ribosomal RNA
Rfam family: Bacterial large subunit ribosomal RNA
Source: RNAcentral